CAGCAGCCACGGUAAUACAGAGGGUGCGAGCGUUAAUCGGAUUUACUGGGCGUAAAGCGUGCGUAGGCGGCUUCUUAAGUCGGAUGUGAAAUCCCUGAGCUUAACUUAGGAAUUGCAUUCGAUACUGGGAAGCUAGAGUAUGGGAGAGGAUGGUAGAAUUCCAGGUGUAGCGGUGAAAUGCGUAGAGAUCUGGAGGAAUACCGGUGGCGAAGGCAGCCAUCUGGCCUAAUACUGACGCUGAGGUACGAAAGCAUGGGGAGCAAACAGGAUUAGAUACCCCCGUAGUCCCUGUCUCUUAUAC
Molecule: ribosomal RNA, 301 nt
Filed under: uncultured bacterium
Lineage: Bacteria
Description: partial 16S ribosomal RNA
Rfam family: Bacterial small subunit ribosomal RNA
Source: RNAcentral